Molecule: ribosomal RNA, 253 nt
Filed under: uncultured bacterium
Lineage: Bacteria
Description: partial 16S ribosomal RNA
Rfam family: Bacterial small subunit ribosomal RNA
Source: RNAcentral
UACAGAGGGUGCAAGCGUUAAUCGGAAUUACUGGGCGUAAAGCGUGCGUAGACGGUUAUGUAAGUCAGGUGUGAAAGCCCCGGGCUCAACCUGGGAAUUGCAUUUGAGACUGCAUAGCUAGGGUGCGGAAGAGGGAAGCGGAAUUUCCGGUGUAGCGGUGAAAUGCGUAGAUAUCGGAAGGAACACCAGUGGCGAAAGCGGCUUCCUGGUCCAGCACCGACGUCCAGGCACGAAAGCGUGGGGAGCAAACAGG